RNAcentral lists this non-coding RNA (29 nucleotides) under Mus musculus (house mouse). The record is from RNAcentral. Lineage: Eukaryota; Metazoa; Chordata; Mammalia; Rodentia; Muridae.
GUGGCACUUUACUGGUUGGGAAGCCUUUC